RNAcentral lists this microRNA (24 nucleotides) under Panagrellus redivivus. RNAcentral's name for it is "prd-miR-7909-5p". Lineage: Eukaryota; Metazoa; Nematoda; Chromadorea; Rhabditida; Panagrolaimidae. The record is from miRBase by way of RNAcentral.
AGGAAUGUUAUUGCGUCUUCGAUU